RNAcentral lists this long non-coding RNA (682 nucleotides) under Homo sapiens (human). RNAcentral's name for it is "long intergenic non-protein coding RNA 1646". The record is from RNAcentral. Lineage: Eukaryota; Metazoa; Chordata; Mammalia; Primates; Hominidae.
AUUGCCAAAAGCGGACGUCAAUAGAUGUAAUGCAAAAAUAGUGUCUUGUGUUCAAAAAAGGUUGGGAAAUACUGAGUGAAAGAAUAGUGCACAAACCAUAGGCACACAGCUCAAGGAAUUAUCAGGAAUUGAACAUGUCCACGUGUGCCCAACCCAGCUCUCCAGCACACCUUCCCAGCCUCAACCCAUCAUCUGGAUUCUGAGGUUCUUGGCUCCAGUGAGGACGUUAUUGCUGAGAAUUAGAUGCUGAAGUUGGCACCAUCAAAUAACUAGUCCUGGAUGCAUGUCACUAGUAGCAGCCAUCUCACUGCCUCAGGAACUCAAGUUUACCAUGGUCACCAUGGCCUUGGAGAAUACUCACCUCAUCCUUUUUGUGCAUCACUCGCUCUCAAUUCUAAAAAAGGAGAGAACAUCUGAUUGGCAAAGCCUAGGUGAUACAAAUAUCUGGAAUUCUCAUCUUUUGUAAUGGGAAGUAACUCUGCUUGCUGUUAAGAUUCACAGAGUAAAUAAUCACCAGCUCCUGGAGGGGCUCGUGGGUAGGUAUGGAGAGAGAUGAGCAAUGGUCUACACAGAUGACAGAACAUAUCCACAUCCCUAAGCAGCUUUGGAGUAAACCAGAGUAAAAGCAACCAAAACAGAGUCCAAGUCAGGGUCCUUCCAUCCUCAAACCAGGCUCCAGUGG